GAAAUGCGAUAAUUAAUGUGAAUUGCAGAAUUCAGUGAAUCAUCGAGUCUUUGAACGCACAUUGCGCCCCCUGGUAUUCCGGGGGGCAUGCCUGUCCGAGCGUCAUUGCUGCCCUCAAGCACGGCUUGUGUGUUGGGCUUCCGUCCCUGGCAACGGGGACGGGCCCAAAAGGCAGUGGCGGCACCAUGUCUGGUCCUCGAGCGUAUGGGGCUUUGUCACCCGCUCCCGUAGGUCCAGCUGGCAGCUAGCCUCGCAACCAAUCUUUUUAACCAGGUUGACCUCUGAUCAGGUAGGGAUCCCCGCUGAACUUAAGC
This 314-nucleotide unclassified non-coding RNA is filed under the name plant metagenome. Its description in RNAcentral is "partial contains 5.8S ribosomal RNA, internal transcribed spacer 2, and large subunit ribosomal RNA". The stretch from base 1 to 105 matches the Rfam family "5.8S ribosomal RNA", at positions 50 to 154 of the family's 154-position model. The record is from RNAcentral.